GGGGCUAAUACCGGAUAACAUUUUGAACCGCAUGGUUCGAAAUUGAAAGGGGGCUUCGGCUGUCCGUUAUGGAUGGACCCGCGUCGCAUUAGCUAGUUGGUGAGGUAACGGCUCACCAAGGCAACGAUGCGUAGCCGACCUGAGAGGGUGAUCGGCCACACUGGGACUGAGACACGGCCCAGACUCCUACGGGAGGCAGCAGUAGGGAAUCUUCCGCAAUGGACGAAAGUCUGACGGAGCAACGCCGCGUGAGUGAUGAAGGCUUUCGGGUCGUAAAACUCUGUUGUUAGGGAAGAACAAGUGCUAGUUGAAUAAGCUGGCACCUUGACGGUACCUAACCAGAAAGCCACGGCUAACUACGUGCCAGCAGCCGCGGUAAAUACGUAGGUGGCUAGCGUUAUCCGGAAUUAGUGGGCGGAAAGCGCGCGCAGGUGGUUUCUUUAAGUCUGAUGUGAAAAGCCCACGGCUCAACCCGUGGAGGGUCAUUGGAAAACUGGGGAGACUUGAGUGCAAAAGAAGAAAGUGGAAUUUCCCGUG
RNAcentral lists this ribosomal RNA (537 nucleotides) under Bacillus sp. LB_1_A5B. Its description in RNAcentral is "bacterial SSU rRNA". It matches the Rfam family "Bacterial small subunit ribosomal RNA", at positions 159 to 675 of the family's 1533-position model. The record is from RNAcentral. Lineage: Bacteria; Bacillati; Bacillota; Bacilli; Caryophanales; Bacillaceae.